Molecule: ribosomal RNA, 1076 nt
Filed under: Alexandrium catenella
Lineage: Eukaryota; Dinophyceae; Gonyaulacales; Pyrocystaceae
Description: partial large subunit ribosomal RNA
Rfam family: Eukaryotic large subunit ribosomal RNA
Source: RNAcentral
UUUAGUAAUUGCGAAUGAACAAGGAUAUGCUUAGCUUGACAAAUGGAGCUAUUGGCUUUGAAUUGUAUUGUGGAAAUGUAUUACCAAUUGUGGAAAUGUAUUACCACUAUUGAAAUAAAGCGUCAAUGAGGGUGAGAAUCCUGUUUGUCAUGUGCAGCCCUUUGUGCACGGUGUAUAUUUGCUGAGUCACACUCCUUGGCAUUGGAAUGCAAAGUGGGUGGUAAGUUUCAUGUAAAGGUAAACAUGCAAUUGAGACUGAUAGCACACAAGUACCAUGAGGGAAAUAUGAAAAGGACUUUGAAAAGAGAAUUAAAUGAGUUUGUAUUUGCUGAACACAAAGUAAACAGACUUGAUUUGCUUGGUGGGAGUGUUGCACUUGCUUGACAAGAGCUUUGGGCUGUGGGUGUAAUGAUUCUUUCUUUGCAUGCCAGUUUCUAUUUGUACAUCUGAUUACCUUUGCACAUGAAUGAUAAGUCUCCUGUGGGGGGUGGAUUGCAUGUGCAUGUAAUGAUUUGUGUUUUGAUAAAUGUGUCUGGUGUAUGUGUGUGUUCCUGUGCUUGGGGAUGCUUCCUUCCUUGGACUUACAAGCCCUGACACACACAUGCUGGCAAAAUGCUUCUGCUUGACCCGUCUUGAAACACGGACCAAGGAGUCUAACAGAUGUGCAAAGUUUGAAGGUGGUAUACCUUUGUGUGCAAUGAAAGUGUCAGCUGGGAUAUGUGCACCAGCACCCAAUUAAUUAGCGGACAGAGGUUUGAGUUGGAGCAUAUCUAUUAGGACCCGAAAGAUGGUGAACUAUGCCUGAACAGAAUGAAUUCAGAGGAAACUCUGAUGGAGGUUCGUAUCGAUACUGACGUGCAAAUCGUUCGUCAUAUUUGGGUAUAGGGGCGAAAGACUAAUCGAACCAUCUAGUAGCUGGUUCCCUCCGAAGUUUCCCUCAGGAUAGCUGGAGUUGCUCAGUUUUAUCAGGUAAAGCGAAUGAUUAGAGGAAUUGGGGACAGGUUUGUCUUUGACCUAUUCUCAAACUUUAAAUGGGUAAUAUGUAGUGGUUGCUGUAUGGAACUUCUAAGAUAAAU